This 421-nucleotide ribosomal RNA is filed under the name uncultured bacterium. RNAcentral's name for it is "bacterial SSU rRNA". It matches the Rfam family "Bacterial small subunit ribosomal RNA", at positions 360 to 773 of the family's 1533-position model. The record is from RNAcentral.
AAUAUUGGACAAUGGGCGAAAGCCUGAUCCAGCCAUGCUGCGUGUGUGAAGAAUGUCUUCGGAUUGUAAAGCACUUUAAGUCGGGAGGAAGGGCAUUAACCUAAUACGUUAGUGCUUUGACGUUACCGACAGAAUAAGCUCCGGCUAACUCUGUGCCAGCAGCCGCGGUAAUACAGAGGGUGCAAGCGUUAAUCGGAAUUACUGGGCGUAAAGCGCGCGUAGGUGGUUUGUUAAGUUGAAUGUGAAAUCCCCGGGCUCAACCUGGGAACUGCAUCCAAAACUGGCAAGCUAGAGUAUGGUAGAGGGUAGUGGAAUUUCCCGUGUAGCGGUGAAAUGCGUAGAUAUAGGAAGGAACACCAGUGGCGAAGGCGACUACCUGGACUGAUACUGACACUGAGGUGCGAAAGCGUGGGGAGCAAAC